RNAcentral lists this unclassified non-coding RNA (362 nucleotides) under Hevea brasiliensis (rubber tree). Lineage: Eukaryota; Viridiplantae; Streptophyta; Magnoliopsida; Malpighiales; Euphorbiaceae. The record is from RNAcentral.
UCUGAUAUGAAGAAUUUGUAAUAAUUGAACCUCCACUUCACUAGCAUCCAGUGUAAAUUAAGAGAUCAAAAAGCUAAUGUAAUCUCUGCCACAGAUCGUCAGAUAAAUAAUAUAAUUAAAGAUUUGUACUCCUGCCUGGUGGCCUGUUAAAACCAUAAUAUUGUUAUGUCUAACUAAAGCAGCAACUUCUUUUUCCAAAGGAUUAUUAAAUAAGCGCCAAUUCUGGUUGUUUGACAUGCAUUUAUAUACUGGCAUGAAUAAAAGAGUGUCAAAACAAACGUAUGAACUCCAAUAAACAAUAUUGGAUCUUCUUGCUGCUUAAUAAAGCUUCAAGGAAGAGUUCAAUUUUGCGGAAGCUCCAG